This 75-nucleotide transfer RNA is filed under the name Pantoea agglomerans. Its description in RNAcentral is "tRNA-OTHER". It matches the Rfam family "tRNA". From Rfam's summary of the family: Transfer RNA (tRNA) molecules are approximately 80 nucleotides in length. Their secondary structure includes four short double-helical elements and three loops (D, anti-codon, and T loops). Further hydrogen bonds mediate the characteristic L-shaped molecular structure. tRNAs have two regions of fundamental functional importance: the anti-codon, which is responsible for specific mRNA codon recognition, and the 3' end, to which the tRNAs corresponding amino acid is attached (by aminoacyl-tRNA synthetases). tRNAs cope with the degeneracy of the genetic code in two manners: having more than one tRNA (with a specific anti-codon) for a particular amino acid; and 'wobble' base-pairing, i.e. permitting non-standard base-pairing at the 3rd anti-codon position. Lineage: Bacteria; Pseudomonadati; Pseudomonadota; Gammaproteobacteria; Enterobacterales; Erwiniaceae. The record is from RNAcentral. RNAcentral also lists the same sequence under 1 other name.
CCGCCGUUAGCUUAAUGGACAGAGUGCUGGUUCCUGAGACCAGAGGACGAGGUUAAAAUCCUUGACGGCGGUCCA